UACAGAGGGUGCGAGCGUUGUUCGGAAUUAUUGGGCGUAAAGAGCUUGUAGGCGGUCUGUCGCGUCUGCUGUGAAAAAUCCGGGGCUCAACCCCGGGCUUGCAGUGGGUACGGGCAGACUAGAGUGUGGUAGGGGAGACUGGAAUUCCUGGUGUAGCGGUGAAAUGCGCAGAUAUCAGGAGGAACACCGAUGGCGAAGGCGGCAUCCUGGACCGACAUUGACGCUGAACGGCGAAAAGCUAGGGGAGCAAACGGG
This 255-nucleotide ribosomal RNA is filed under the name uncultured bacterium. Its description in RNAcentral is "partial 16S ribosomal RNA". It matches the Rfam family "Bacterial small subunit ribosomal RNA", at positions 524 to 776 of the family's 1533-position model. The record is from RNAcentral.